GACGAACGCUGGCGGCGUGCCUAAUACAUGCAAGUCGAGCGGAACUGGGGGAGCUUGCUCCUUCCAGUUUAGCGGCGGACGGGUGAGUAACACGUGGGCAACCUGCCCUGCAGAUCGGGAUAACUCCGGGAAACCGGUGCUAAUACCGAAUAGUUUGGCGCCUCUCCUGAGGCGCUACGGAAAGACGGUUUCGGCUGUCACUGCAGGAUGGGCCCGCGGCGCAUUAGCUAGUUGGUGGGGUAACGGCCCACCAAGGCGACCGAUGCGAAGCCGACCUGAGAGGGUGACCGGCCACACUGGGACUGAGACACGGCCCAGACUCCUACGGGAGGCAGCAGUAGGGAAUCUUCCGCAAUGGACGCAAGUCUGACGGAGCAACGCCGCGUGAGUGACGAAGGUUUUCGGAUCGUAAAACUCUGUUGUGAGGGAAGAACACGUACCAACUAACUAUUGGUACCUUGACGGUACCUCACCAGAAAGCCACGGCUAACUACGUGCCAGCCGCCGCAGUAA
RNAcentral lists this ribosomal RNA (513 nucleotides) under uncultured bacterium. RNAcentral describes it as "partial 16S ribosomal RNA". It matches the Rfam family "Bacterial small subunit ribosomal RNA", at positions 28 to 523 of the family's 1533-position model. The record is from RNAcentral.